This is a non-coding RNA of Triticum aestivum (bread wheat), 135 nucleotides long. Lineage: Eukaryota; Viridiplantae; Streptophyta; Magnoliopsida; Poales; Poaceae. The record is from Rfam.
GGGGUACUCCCUCCGUCCCAAAAUUCUUGUCUUAGAUCUGUCUAGAUACGGAUGUAUGCAAUACUAAAACAUGACUUGAUACAUCCGUAUUUAGACAAAUCUAAGACAAGAAUUUUGGGACGGAGGGAGUACCUC